This is a long non-coding RNA of Alligator sinensis (Chinese alligator), 453 nucleotides long. RefSeq lists it as uncharacterized. NCBI's taxonomy places the organism in Eukaryota, Metazoa, Chordata, Crocodylia, Alligatoridae. The record is from RefSeq and is a predicted model, not a curated record. The transcript has 3 exons.
UGUGCAUUUCCCAGUAUUCUGCUGUGCUGGCACUGGUUGGAUGAAAAGAGCAGAUCAGGCUUAUUCUUCUGCAACAAAGUAUAGGGCCCUGAAUGCCUGCUUGUGACAUCAGAUAUGCUUCUGAAGUUAAAGGAAAGAAGAUGGAGCAGAUGUAAACUCCUCUGAAUGAAAGCUCUUGUUUCCAUCCACUCCUUGCUGCUGCAGAGAACAAAGGAAGAGAAGUGCAUGGAGCACAUGAUGUCACCACAGAGUCGCAUCCAAACAAUCUGUUUUCCUGAAGAUCUCUACAGGAUGAGUGAAAUGGUUCAGGUUCCAGAUUCCCCUCUCCCCCAGGCCCUUCACCAAAUGGCACACUCCAGCAGAAAGCUAUUCAUAUUUUAAAUGAAUGUGCAGUCUGAGAGAAAAGAUAUACUGCACAUAGCUUCCUGUCCAUUAGUGGGAUACAGAUGUGGC